AGGGCAUCGAUCAACGAGGAGCUUCCGUAAGGAAUCCAAACUCCAUGCAAGAAAUUUCGACGUUGAAAUUUUGUGUGGUGAGGAGAAGUUUCAACGUGGCUUCAUCUCUGCCUUUCCACCUUUGCCAAAACUUAUCGAAGACCAAGAACCGUCGAGCAUUUUUUGUUUCAUGUAAAUUAGUUUCUCUUUAGUGUUUGAUACUCCAGCUGUUUCAGUUUAUAUGUUUAAAGUUUUCCAUGCAAAUUAAAGAAAAUGUUAGAUAUUCAUUUUUAUUCGUAUUUAACUAUUGAAAUUCAAUAAUAUUAUGAAAUAAGUUAGUUUCCUGUUAUGAGUUUGUCUCAAAUCGGAUACGAUGACUAGAAAGCAAUGACAAAAAGUCUUUGACGGAAGAUUCUAGUCGAGUGGUUGAUCGGAUACGUUGUGUUGACAGCAAAGACAACAAGUCUUUGACGGAAGCUUUUUUUUUUUUUG
This 471-nucleotide long non-coding RNA is filed under the name Brassica rapa (field mustard). RNAcentral's name for it is "long non-coding RNA (BRAP_LNC006524)". The record is from RNAcentral. Lineage: Eukaryota; Viridiplantae; Streptophyta; Magnoliopsida; Brassicales; Brassicaceae.